UCGGUGGUGCCGGUGCAGAAUGUGGAUGUGGCUCAGGAGAAUAAGAGUGAGGUGGUGAAGGAGGAACAAGUGAGUGAGACCAGUGAGGGGAAUAGCAAGCAGUUUGAGGAUAACCCGGGGGAUUUACCGGAGGAUGCGACGAAAGGAGAUAGCAAUGAGGGUGGUAAUCAGGUGGAAGAGAAGCAGGAGGAGAAGGGUGAGGAGAAGAGUGAAGAGAAGAUUGAGGAGAAAACAGAAGAUGGGUCGAAAACUGAGACUGAGGAUGGAGGAAGUAAGACUGAAGAGGGAGAGUCUAAGGGAAAUGAUGAUUCAAAUUCUGAAGAUGGAGAGAAGAAAAGUGAGGGUGACAAUGAGAAAAAGGACGAUUUGGGUGAGGGUGAGGGUGACAAUGAAAAGAAAUCGGAUGAUGACAAUGAAAAGAAAGCAGAAAACACCGAUGAAACAAAGGAGAAUACUCAAAUUGAGGAGAAAGUGGAAACAACUGACAAGGAGCAAGAUAGUGAGAAAUCGGAGAAUGGGCAGGCUGUGAACCAGAGUUCAACUGAGGUGUUUCCUUCUGUUGCUCAGUCAGAGCUUCUGAAUGAGACUACUGUCCAAAAUGGGUCCUGGUCAACUCAGUCGGCAGAGUCAAAGAAUGAAAAGGAGGCUC
RNAcentral lists this long non-coding RNA (649 nucleotides) under Fragaria vesca (wild strawberry). RNAcentral's name for it is "long non-coding RNA (FVES_LNC000242)". Lineage: Eukaryota; Viridiplantae; Streptophyta; Magnoliopsida; Rosales; Rosaceae. The record is from RNAcentral.